CAUCUGUAGUUUGGGGCUAGCACUUGGUUGGUGGUACCAUUGAACACACCAGACUUGCAAAAAAUAAGCAUACUCUGGAGGAGGCUAAGACAUGCUUGCUGAGAGGCAACAGUUCACAUGCAGUAUUCCUCUGGUAGGUACUAAGUACUGUUGCCAUGGUGAUAAUGGCUGAGCUGUGCCAUUAUCUAUCCAGCAACAGUAACAGAAGCUUUGCAGUAAGGAUACCAUUUAGCAGACAGUGGCUUUUGUUGAACACUAAAUACCGCUACAAAA
Nannospalax galili (Upper Galilee mountains blind mole rat) is the source of this 273-nucleotide non-coding RNA. The record is from Ensembl. Lineage: Eukaryota; Metazoa; Chordata; Mammalia; Rodentia; Spalacidae.